ACGUGAUCUGAGUUCAGACCGGAGUAAUCCAGGUCAGUUUCUAUCUAUAAGAAGUCUUCUCUAGUACGAAAGGACCGAAAGGACAUAGCCAAUGCUUCAGUAAGCUAUUUUCACCAACUUAUGAAUCAAACUCAAUAAAUAACUAAUUCAAAACAUAACCUCAGAAUAAGGCA
This 173-nucleotide ribosomal RNA is filed under the name Gastrotheca abdita (Cordillera Colan marsupial frog). RNAcentral describes it as "partial 16S ribosomal RNA". Lineage: Eukaryota; Metazoa; Chordata; Amphibia; Anura; Hemiphractidae. The record is from RNAcentral.